GGGGAGGAAAGAAAUCAGUGGCAGCUAGUAGGCCGGGGAAGGGGAGCCACCUUCGGUUGGACUCGUGACAGGAGCCACCAGUCUGAUCACAGUUAUUAGUUAUCGUCAGCUAAGUCCCCUCCUGUUCCCUGAUUAAGAGGGGAUGACUACUCCACUCCACGACCUUUGUCAACUUUCUCCUGACAUGAACUGAAGCCAUGUUUCAUGUGCCCUCUCAUCCACUGGCACAUUGAAUGUUUCCCCUCCAAGUUCUCCUCUGAACACCUCAACUCAUGCCUCAUACCCUCAUUCAAUCAUUGCUGUGAUCUCUUUCCAACAUGGUCAGCACGUCUCCUCCUGACAUUAGUUCAUUUACUGUGGUUUUGUCCCUGAGCCAGCAGCACGUCUCCUCCUGACAUUAGUUCAUUUACUGUGGUGAUGUCCCUGAGCCAGCAGCACGUCUCCUCCUGACAUUAGUUCAUUUACUGUGGUGAUGUCCCUGAGCCAGCAGCACGUCUCCUCCUGACAUUAGUUCAUUUACUGUGGUGAUGUCCCUGAGCCAGCAGCACGUCUCCUCCUGACAUUAGUUCAUUUACUGUGGUGAUGUCCCUGAGCCAGCAGCACGUCUCCUCCUGACAUUAGUUCAUUUACUGUGGUGAUGUCCCUGAGCCAGCAGCACGUCUCCUCCUGACAUUAGUUCAUUUACUGUGGUGAUGUCCCUGAGCCAGCAGCACGUCUCCUCCUGACAUUAGUUCAUUUACUGUGGUGAUGUCCCUGAGCCAGCAGCACGUCUCCUCCUGACAUUAGUUCAUUUACUGUGGUGAUGUCCCUGAGCCAGCAGCACGUCUCCUCCUGACGCAAAUGUAAACACAGAACAGCCUAAUCACCACUGGAGCUGAAAGGGAGAGUAAGCUGACUGUCUCUGUCUGGAUCAGGCUCCCAGCUGACAUCCAGCUUGUUGUCCAGACUGAGAUGGGAGACAGUGCAGGUGUAGUUGUGUCUCUCUCUCAGUUCCUCUGUAAUGACCUCCAGUCUCUUCCUCAGCUAGUACACUCAGUCUCCAUUGGGUGGCAGCUGCCCACCUGUCAUCUCCUGUUCUGCUUUUAGCUGGCCGUCUCUCAGCAGGGUCAGGUUGGUAUGUCGUGGGUUGAAACCAAACACCAGACAGCUCAUUUGGAGCCCUACAGACAUUACUUUCUGAAUAAGACUCUAAGACACACUUUACGGAUCACAAUUUUCUUCACUGUCUGCAGGGAUGUCUCCAAACAAUGAAUGUAAACGUCUACAAAUUCCAACUGAAAGCUUUUUUGAACACAAUGUGAAAAUAAUCUGUUCAGGUUCAGGAUCACAUUCUUUGUUUGCUCUGCUCUGAAAAGAUGGGUGUACUAAAAUAGUGUUUACUAAACAACGAUAGUUCCUACUCUUGAUUUCUGUACCUCAAUGAAAACAUGCUGCAAACACUGCUACAUUACUCCAUAACAUUAUCAGUGUCACGUUCUGACCUUUAUUUCCUUUGUUUUGUCAUUAUUUAGUAUGGUCAGGGCGUGAGUUGGGGUGGGCAGUCUAUGUUU
Long non-coding RNA from Oncorhynchus kisutch (coho salmon), 1550 nucleotides. RefSeq lists it as uncharacterized. The record is from RefSeq and is a predicted model, not a curated record. Lineage: Eukaryota; Metazoa; Chordata; Actinopteri; Salmoniformes; Salmonidae. The transcript has 4 exons.